UACAGGAUGGACCCGCGUCUGAUUAGCUGGUGGUUGAGGUAACGGCUCACCAAGGCGACGAUCAGUAGCCGGCUUGAGAGAGUGAACGGCCACAUUGGGACUGAGACACGGCCCAAACUCCUACGGGAGGCAGCAGUGGGGAAUAUUGCACAAUGGGGGAAACCCUGAUGCAGCGACGCCGCGUGAGUGAAGAAGUAUCUCGGUAUGUAAAGCUCUAUCAGCAGGGAAGAAAAUGACGGUACCUGACUAAGAAGCCCCGGCUAACUACGUGCCAGCAGCCGCGGUAAUACGUAGGGGGCAAGCGUUAUCCGGAAUUACUGGGUGUAAAGGGUGCGUAGGUGGUAUGGCAAGUCAGAAGUGAAAACCCAGGGCUUAACUCUGGGACUGCUUUUGAAACUGUCAGACUGGAGUGCAGGAGAGGUAAGCGGAAUUCCUAGUGUAGCGGUGAAAUGCGUAGAUAUUAGGAGGAACAUCAGUGGCGAAGGCGGCUUACUGGACUGAAACUGACACUGAGGCACGAAAGCGUGGGGAGCAAACAGGAUUAGAUACCCUGGUAGUCCACGCCGUAAACGA
RNAcentral lists this ribosomal RNA (573 nucleotides) under uncultured bacterium. RNAcentral describes it as "bacterial SSU rRNA". It matches the Rfam family "Bacterial small subunit ribosomal RNA", at positions 219 to 809 of the family's 1533-position model. The record is from RNAcentral.